This 72-nucleotide transfer RNA is filed under the name Cordylochernes scorpioides. RNAcentral's name for it is "tRNA-Glu". It matches the Rfam family "tRNA". From Rfam's summary of the family: Transfer RNA (tRNA) molecules are approximately 80 nucleotides in length. Their secondary structure includes four short double-helical elements and three loops (D, anti-codon, and T loops). Further hydrogen bonds mediate the characteristic L-shaped molecular structure. tRNAs have two regions of fundamental functional importance: the anti-codon, which is responsible for specific mRNA codon recognition, and the 3' end, to which the tRNAs corresponding amino acid is attached (by aminoacyl-tRNA synthetases). tRNAs cope with the degeneracy of the genetic code in two manners: having more than one tRNA (with a specific anti-codon) for a particular amino acid; and 'wobble' base-pairing, i.e. permitting non-standard base-pairing at the 3rd anti-codon position. The record is from RNAcentral. Lineage: Eukaryota; Metazoa; Arthropoda; Arachnida; Pseudoscorpiones; Chernetidae.
UCCCACGUGGUCUAGUGGCUAGGAUAUAUGGCUUUCAGCCAGAAGGCCCGGGUUCGUUUCCCGGCGUGGGAA